Molecule: long non-coding RNA, 340 nt
Organism: Capra hircus (goat)
Lineage: Eukaryota; Metazoa; Chordata; Mammalia; Artiodactyla; Bovidae
Exons: 4
Source: RefSeq, a predicted model, not a curated record
UAAAACCAAGAGCCCUUUCCCACGGAGCCGGAAGUUGGAGAGCGCGGAGCCGAGGUCCGCGAGCGGCCCCUAAGCUUCCUUCUAGAAUUCAUUCCUUGCCUGAGUGAUUUCUUCCCUUCAUCUCAUACAUUUGAGAAGAUAAUCUUUGCUCCAGCAGCCAAGGAAUUAGCCUGAAGAGAUGAGCGGUGUCGGUGGAGAAUGAUGCAGCCUCUGACUCAAGGUCUCAGAUGACAAUCCUACCCAUGGCCUCAAGCUGUGGCCUACUUGCUCAUCCUGGAAUACUCUUUAUAAAGAUCCUUGAACAAAGGUCAGUGGUUAACUUUAUGGCUUAUUCUCUGGG